This 433-nucleotide ribosomal RNA is filed under the name uncultured bacterium. RNAcentral's name for it is "partial 16S ribosomal RNA". It matches the Rfam family "Bacterial small subunit ribosomal RNA", at positions 28 to 507 of the family's 1533-position model. The record is from RNAcentral.
GACGAACGCUGGCGGCAUGCCUAACACAUGCAAGUCGAACGAGACCUUCGGGUCUAGUGGCGCACGGGUGCGUAACGCGUGGGAACCUGCCCUUAGGUUCGGAAUAACUCCCCGAAAGGGGUGCUAAUACCGGAUAAUGUCUUCGGACCAAAGAUUUAUCGCCUUUGGAUGGGCCCGCGUUGGAUUAGCUAAUUGGUAGGGUAAAAGCCUACCAAGGCGACGAUCCAUAGCUGGUCUGAGAGGAUGAUCAGCCACACUGGGACUGAGACACGGCCCAGACUCCUACGGGAGGCAGCAGUGGGGAAUAUUGGACAAUGGGCGAAAGCCUGAUCCAGCAAUGCCGCGUGAGUGAUGAAGGCCUUAGGGUUGUAAAGCUCUUUUACCCGGGAUGAUAAUGACAGUACCGGGAGAAUAAGCUCCGGCUAACUCCGUG